AAGAAUUAUCUUACUUCAUGUAUGGUAUGCCAACUGUUCGAUAAAGGUCCUUUUAGAAAUCUUCUAUUGAUUACCUUGCGAAGACCACAAAACUAGACACACCCAAAAGCAUUCUUGCAUAGUUUAUACAUAGAGAUGGCCGAUUGAUGAUCGUCUUAUUUGUAGACUUAACGCGAGCAGACUCGAUCGCUUAGUCCUUAUUGAUUUACGACACACAUGCUCACACACACACAUACACACAUCACAAAAUCACACAAAUUGACGGAUAAUGUUGCCGUUCAGCUCCUUCCUGAACCUCACCGCGGCAUUUUUCUGCACCAUAGUGGCCGUGAAAUACCACGAGACGAUGUCAUGGACGGCGACGUGUUGUCCGGUGGCGGCGGAUAGCCCGACCUGAACCUGCUGAGGAACAAAGUCGCUCAAAUCGUACUCAUAGUUGACAUCAAAUGUCUGCGAGCCGGCGGUGACUUUCACGGAGAUCAUCCUUGUGGCUCCGACGUAGUUGAUCCGCGCAGUCACCUGCUGCCCGAGUAUGGAGUUGUCGACCUUCGUCGUGUUGCUGGAUGCCCUAGAGCCGAAGUCGAUGCCGAUGUGGGGAUAGAGCGGAUCCCACGCGCCGUUGACGUAGGUGUCGAUUUCGACGGCGAAGACCGAGGGGCUGUUGCCGUUGGAGCCAAAGAUUCCGAGGUUGGCUCCGUUGGAGCCAGGGGGGAUGGUGGAACCGACGGGGGCAAUGAAGAAGGCGAGGCCGUCGGCAGGCUCGUUGUCGGCGCCCGGGGUGAUGAUGAAGUUCACAGUGGUUUCGAAGUCGACCUGCCCACCGGACUGCGAGAAUUGGACCGGGUUCGAGUGCAAGACGCGGCCGACUUGUGAGGGCUGUGCGUCUGUGAGGCGGAGGAAGGUGGAGUCCGUCGGGAAAUGGGCGCUGCCUUGAUAGAUGAGAUCUUUCGGCUGGUCGCCCCAGAAGUCGUAGGUGAAGGACGUCGUUUGGGACAACGCCGUGUUGGAAACGGCGAGGAGGAGGGCGAUGGAGGCGAGGAGAGGAGUUAAGGUUUGAACAAGCUGGUUGGCCAUGGCUUAAUUGAUUUAGAUUUAGAUUUAGAGAUGUGGUGGAUGAUGGUGGCCAGGUAUCGAUCUCUUGCACCUAUUUAUACUAGUAUGGUUCAUGCCUGUUAAUAAUUGUAUAUAUCAAUCAAUCAUCGUGCAUCUAUCCCAAAUUAUAUGUCUUAUUAUUCACUAAUUAGAUGGAAUAAAUCCUAAUUAGCAAUCUUAAAAUUACACCGCCAAUGAGGCCUUGCUCUAGUGGUAAAGCUGUGGCACCGAAUAACUUUUCUUUGUGAAAGGUCUUGGGUUCAAUCUCGCCUGCAUGCGGUGAUGUUUGUCCAUUUUAGAUGGUGUGGUAUUCUUGCCUGCGUGCGGUGUUGUAUUAUUUAGUCUUAGGCGUUCUUGCCUGUGUGCAUAUCACUGUGUGACAAUUAAAAGAAUGACUUUAAAAUAAAAGUUAAGCCUUAAAAAUUUAAUCUACAUUCAUAUAUAACUGAAAUUACAUGCAUGUCUAAUUUUUUUAAUAUCAUAACAAGAUAAGAUUUAUUAAAUAAUUCAGAUGCAUAAAUAAAAAGUUAAUCUAUAAACACAGUAUAGAUAUAUUAUCAAUGAUAGGCCGUGUAUAAGUCUUAAUCUGUAAAACUAUAUCAUCCCAGCCUUAAACGACUACCAUUCCUGCUUUCCCAGAGCAACCACACUGUUCCCACCCACAAAGCUUUAAGCAGUACAUGCAUGUCUAAAUAUUAUUUAUAAUUAUCAAUAACAAGAUUAAUGAUUCUAUAUCUCUAUGUUUAUACAUAUAUUCACGUAUGACAUAGUAUAUAUUAGCUAUUAAGUUAAAAACUAAUAAAAUACUACAGUUUUGCAUAGGAUAUAUAUUUAAUUAGUAGUAGGAUAGGACACGUGUAUUAAUUUUAAGGGCAAGUAAUCAAACUUUUGAAUGAUUCAUCAUGCUUAAAAAAAAAAAGAGACCUAGAUAGAUGAUUCAUCAGAUUCAAAAACAAGUAUAAAUAGACUUCGAGUUUGAAAUUUUAAUUAAUUUGCAACAACAAUUCAAACUGACUGUAUUAAGGUAAGUAGUUACAGAUUUCAUACACAUUAUAUGAUUUCGCGCACAUACGUAUGUAUAUAUAAAUAUUUUUUAAAAUCAUAUACUCCCUCCGUCCCCAAAAUAAGUUCCUCUUUGGGGACGGCACGGAUUUUAAGGAAAAGUGGUAAAGUGUAUUAAUAGUGGAGAAAAAUAUGUUAUAAUUAGUAUUGGAAGUUGUGAAAAGGUGAAAAAGUGUUAUAAUUAGUAUUGGGAGUGGUGAAAAAGUGAAAAGUAAGAAUAAAUAAAGUAUUAUUAGUGGUGGGGUAGUUGUCCAAAAAUGGAAAAAAAGAAAGAGGAACUUAUUUGGGGGACAUCCCAAAAUGGAAAAAGAGGAACUUAUUUCAGGGACGGAGGGAGUAUUAUAUAAUAAUUAUAUUUAAGUUUUAUAUUAUUCUUUAUAAACUAUUGUUCCAUUCUAUAUAAUUAGGUGUGGCACGACUAGGACGUAACUUUCGAUUGAAUUUCUCAAGUUAAUUUUCAAGUUCAAGUUUCAGGUGUGAGAUUUAUUUAAAUACAUGUCAUGAUUAUUCAUUGUCCAUUUUAAUAGUAUGUGUUUACCAUAUGUGUUAUGACGCAUAUUUUGAGGACAUCGCUAGGAGCCCAUAAAUAGGGUCCAGGACUUCACCGUCCUUGGAUUGCCACAAUGCGAUUUGAGGUUUAUUUUGAGGAUGUCGUCAGGGGCCCGUAAAUAGGGUCCAGGACUUUAAUAGUCAUUGGGUUGCCACAGUGCGAAUAUUGAAGAUAUAUAUGAAGUGACCGUAUGUGUUACCGUUUCAUUAACGUGGACAAUGAUUGCAUGUUUAAGAGACAAUAACCAAUUUUUCAGACAUUUGUGAACAAAAUGAAGCAUGUUUAGAGAUCCUUAAUAAAGGUGUACGAAAUGAUGGAUAAAUAAGUUUGUGAAACAAAUUUCACCAUACCUAACCCCACAAUUAUUUGCGGUCGAAUUUCCUCGUCACAGGAAAAAGAGAUGAUGACAAAAGGGCAAAAAUUAAUUAACAAAGUAGAAGAUGCAUGACAACUGUAAAAGAAAAAUAAUGCUACUAAUUAAAUAGUCCAAACUUCAUACGUUUCAUAUCAUAAGUGGCAGUUCUAUUUUUUUUUUGCGAAAGUGAACAAAAUAACGAAUAAUUUUUAAAGUAAUAGUAAUAAGGAGAUGUGUUUUGACAGAAAACGACAUGAGCGGCCUAAAAAUAAGAGGGAAAAAGAUAAUCAUAUAAAUAUGGGUUAAUUGCCUCUAAAUACACCACCUUUCCUUGAAUUCUACAAUUGCACAUCACCUUUAAAAUCCGCCCUUAAAUACACCACCUUUCCUUGAGUUCUACAAUUGCACAUCACCUUUAAAUCCGCCCCAAAAUACAUCAUCUUUAUAUUUUUUCUGUUUUUGCACAUGACUAAAAAAUUCUCAAGAAAUAAAUUAAAGUGUUAAUUUAUAAAUUUAAAUAUCUUUUUAGCAGCGAAAACAUAAUAAAAUAAAAUUCUUUAUAAAGUUUAAAAUCAUAUAUAUAUAUAUAUAUAUAUAAGUAUUUUCGUAAAGAAAUAAAUUCUCUAAUAAAUUUUUAGAAAGAACUUGAAUUAAAAAAAUAAACAAGUCAUGACAUUAAGAAAAUAAAAUGAAAUUUUUAUUUUAAUAAAUUUCACACGAAUUCGAUAUAAUUUGGAAUUUAGAGUUACAAUAAUCAGAAGUACCACAUGAAUAAUAUAAUGAGUUUGAAAGAAAUUUUUUUUAAAGAGGUUCGACACGCCCAUUCGACUUUCCACGCGCCUCCAAUGUCAUUUACCUGAAAUAUUAANUAUAUAAGUAUUUUUCGUAAAGAAAUAAAUUCUCUAAUAAAUUUUUAGAAAGAACUUGAUUAAAAAAUAAACAAGACAUGACAUUAAGAAAAUAAAAUGAAACUUUUAUUUUAAUAAAUUUCACACGAAUUCGAUAUAAUUUGGAAUUUAGAGUUACAAUAAUAAAAAGAACCACAUAAAUAAUAUAAUCAGUUUGAAAGAAAUAUAUAUAUAUUUUUUUAAAGAGGUUCGACGCGCCCAUUCGACUCUCCACGCGCUACCAAUGUCAUUACCUGAAAUACUAAAUAUGGGAUAAGCAUACAUAAUAUACUUAGUGUGGGAACAUGCAAUUAUUGUCCACGUUAAUAAAAUAGUAACACAUACGAUCAUAACAUUCAAAACGACACAAUUUUGCCAAUAUGGAAGCCACGUCAUUUAAAGUGGUAACACCCUAAUCUAACUAAAGUGUUAAAUAUAAAUUUAAAGCGGAAAUAUAAUAAAAUAAAGUUCUUUAUAAAAAUAAAUAAAGAAUUUUAUUUUAUUAUAUUUCCGCUGCUAAAAAAGAUAUUUAAAAUUUAUAAAUUAACACUUUAAUUUAUUUCUUGAGGAUUUUUAAGUCAUGUGCAAAAACAGAAAAAAAAUAUAAAGGUGAUGUAUUUUGGGGCGGAUUUAGAAUUCAAGGAAAUGUGGUGUAUUUAGGGGCGGAUUUUAAAGGUGAUGUGCAAUUGUAGAAUUCAAGGAAAGGUGGUGUAUUUAGGGGAAAUUAACCCUAUAAAUAUUCAAAAUCAAACGGAUUGGCAUGUAUUCAUCAUUUUUUAUUUUUUAUUUUGAUAAUUUAACAGUAUUAAAUAAAGAAAUUUAUAGGCUGCGUCCCUUACUGCUUGGCUUUUAGAUUAUGUUGUAAUAAUAAAAUUAAAAGCACGUUUACAAUAUAAAAUUAAUUAUGAUAAAUACAAUAUAUUAAUAAUAAAUACUCAAUUACCUCUUAACAUAAUUCGCGCAUCAUGGCUUUUAGCUUAUAUUAUAAAGAUAUAAUAUGUUGUCUAUAAUAAUCGACGGAAGGUAAUAGACAACAUGUUUUACUUCUUGUCUAUAAUAAUAUAGACAGUAGAUCUAGUGUUAUAGAUAACAAUUAAUACGUGUUGUCUAUAUGAUGAUAGACACCAAAAAUCUCUGUUGUCUAUUCUAUGACAAAAAAAUUUAAAAAAAUUCUAAUAUAUUUACAUCCCUGUAUUACAAUACCAAUAUAUAUGAAAAAAUAAAAAUAAUUAAAAAUCAAAUAAUCAAACAAUACUUAUAAACCACUAAUACUCACAAUCAAAUAUUUACACAUCAACAAUUGUAUUAUCUUUAAUUACGCCUUCAUUUAUCUACUAAAAAAAAUCUCUAAUAAAAUCUCUAACUAACUCCGGUCAUCAUCUCUUGAAGGCUUAGAAAAUGUCCAAAUACAGCGGCACAUGCUCAUUAUUGUGUGAGCGAUGAGAACUUUGCGCUGAACCUAUAAAGUAACUAUACUUAACUGGUAAAGUAAUUGUAUCCCGUGAAUCUAAAGGAAGAAUAAACACGUUGAUAGAGUUUGAAAGAAAAGAAUAAAGAGAAUGAAAAUCCAAAGAAUUUGCUUCUUCCGUUGAACAAUCCCUACACAACGUUGAAAUAUCAAUGAAAACAAUGGCUAUCCUAUACUCCCUCCAUCCAUGAAAGAACUUCCUAGGAGGGAGUGACACGGGUUUUAAGAAAAAAUAUUGUUAAGUGUAUUGAGAGUGGAUAAAAGGUAGUUGAGUGUAUUGGGAGUGGUGAAAAUGUGUUAUAGUUAAUAUUGAGAGUUGUGAAAAGUGAAAAGUAAGAGGAUUAUAAGUGGUGGGGUAUAGUCCAAAAAUAGGUAGGAAGUUCUUUUGUGGACGUCCCAAAAAGGAAAGAUAUGAAGUUCUUUCGUGGACGGAGGGAGUAUUAUUUUGCAGCAGCAACCACGUUUAAAAACUCGAUCCCUCUAUUCUUGAAUUUGUGAAAUUUCCGACUGAUUUAUUAGAUUCACCAUUUAUUUCAGUUUAAUUAGUCUAUAUAUAGAUAUUUCUUAUAUUAUUAAAUUGUUAACCUCAUGGUAGAUUUCAAGAUUUGAAAAUUCAACAAAGAGCUUGAGAAUUAUAGAGAUUGGAAGGGGAAGAUGAAACAUAGUUGGGUGAAAUUAGAAACCAAUUAAAGUCAGGAGAUUGAAGAAAAACAUAACUUAAAAACACAAAAUAAGCAAAUCGUAGAUGCAGUAUCUUGCAAGAAAAAGUUCAUAUUCCCAAGGCUAUGAUGAGCACGAAUUAGGGUGUGUCUGCAUUUUAUCCCUCUAAAUGGAGGAAUAAUAAAAUUUUAUGCCUUUAAAUGUUUGCUUUCUUAUCACACAUUCUAAACAAACACCAUUUUUUCUUCCUUAUUUUCACUUCAAUGAGGGAUAAUAUUAUCCCUCCAAUUUUGGUGUGAUAAUAUUAUCCCUCCUACAAGUGAAAAUAAGGAAGAAAAAAUGGUACUCCCUUCGUCCCAAACGAAAUGUCCUGUUUUCCUUUUUGGGCUGUCCCAAACGAAAUGUCCUGUUUCCUUUUUUGGCAAUACACUCUCUCUCUAUACUUAAUAUUUAAAUAAUUUUCACCAACCCACUUUAUCUACUUUAUACACAUUUCUUAAUCUCCGUGCCGAAAAGAAAUGGGACAUUUCGUUUGGGACGGAGGGAGUAUUUGUGUAGGAUGUGGGAUAAGAAAACAAACAUUUAAAGACAUAAAUUUUUGUUAUUCCUCCAUUUAGAGGGAUAAAAAGCAAACACACCUUAGAGUCUAAUUACAAUUUAGGCGCAGGCUGUGUGAGAAUUACUUAGUCGAAUAGGAUCCUUAGUAUUUAUAUUUCUCAUGUUCUUGUGUAUUUUUUCACUGAUUCACUAUUGGAUUAACAAGAAUUAUCUUACUUUAAAAAAAAAAAAGAAAUGAUCUUACUUCAUGUAUGGUAUGCCAACUGUUCGAUAAAGGUCCUUUUAGAAAUAUUCCAUAGAUUACCUUGCAAAGACCACAAAACUAGACACACCCUGCAUAGUUUAUACAUAGGGAUGGCCGAUUGAUGAUCGUCUUAUUUGUAGACUUAACGAGAGCAGACUCGAUCGCUUAGUCCUUACUGAUUUACGACACACAUGCACACAUACACAGAUACACACAUCACAAAAUCACGCAAAUUGACGGAUAAUGUUGCCGGCCAGCUCCUUCCUGCUCCACGCCACGGCAUUUUUCUGCACCAUGGUGGCCGUGAAAUACCACGAGACGAUGUCAUGGGUGGCGACGUGUUGUCCGGUGGCGGCGGAUAGCCCGACCUGAACCUCCUGAGCAACAAAGUAGCUCAAAUCGUACUCAUAGCUGACAUCAAACGUCUGAUUGCCGGCGGUGACUUUGACGGAGAUCAUCCUUGUGGCUCCGACGUAGUUGAUCCGCGCAGUUACCUGCUGCUUGAGUAUGGAGCUGUCGACCGGCGUCGUCUUGCUGGAUACCCUAGAGCCGAAGUCGAUGCCGAUGUGGGGAUAGAGCGGAUCCCACGCGCCGUUGACGUAGGUGUCGAUUUCAACGGCGAAGACCCCGGGGCUGUUGCCGUUGGAGCCAAAGAUUCCGAGAUUGGCUCCGUCGGAGCCAGGGGGGAUGGUGGAGUCGACGGGGGCAAUGAAGAAGGCGAGGCCGUCGGCAGGCUCGUUGUCGGCGCCGGGGGUGAUGAUGAAGUUCACGGUGGUUUCGAAGUCGACCUGCCCAUUGGACAUCCAGAAUUGGACCGGUUCCGAGUACAUGACGCGGCCGACUUGGGACGGUUGUGCGUCUGUGAGGCGGAGGAAGGUGGAGUCCGUCGGGAAAUGGGCGUUGCCUUGAUAGAUGAGAUCUUUCGGCUGGUCGCCCCAGAAGUCGAAGGUGAACGACGUCGUUUGGGACAACGCCGUGUUGGAAACGGCGAGGAGGAGGGCGAUGGAGGCGAGGAGAGGAGUUAAGUUGGCCAUGGCUUAAUAGAUUUAGAUUUAGAGAUGUGGUGGAUGAUGGUGGUAUCGAUCUGUUGCACCUAUUUAUACUAGUAUGGUUCAUGCCUGAUAAUAAUUGUAUCAAUCAAUCAUCGUGCAUCUAUCCCAAAUUAUAUGUCUUAUUAUUCACUAAUUAGAUGGAAUAAAUCCUAAUUUGCAAUCUUAAAAUUAAACCGCCAAUGAGGCCUUGCUCUAGUAGCAAAGCUGUGGCACCCAAUAACUUUUCUUUGUGAAAGGUCUUGGGUUCAAUCUCGCCUGCAUGCGGUGAUGUUUGCCCACUUUAGGUGGUGUGGUAUUCUCGCCUGCGUGCGGUGUUAUAUUGUUUAGUGUUAAGGUCCCACAUGCAGGGCGUUCUUGCAUGUGUGCGUGUCACAACCCAAAACCAUUUAUUUUCUUUACAAAUUUUAUAUGAAAAUUAUUUGAUUUUUAAGUUAUAGAGUUUUCGAUAUAUAUACAUAUAGUGUCAAUUUUAUGUUAACUUAGUCGUGUCCCUAAUUAAAAGAAUGAAUUUGAAAUAAAAGUUAAGCCUUAAAAAUUUAAUCUACAUUCAUAUAUAACUGAAAUUACAUGCAUGUCUAAAUAUUAUUUAUAAUUAUCAAUAACGGGAUUAAUGAUUCUAUAUCUCUAUGUUUAUACAUAUAUUCACGUAUGACAUAGUAUAUAUUAGCUAUUAAGUUAAAUAAAAUACUACAGUUUUGCAUAGGAUAUAUAUUUAAUUAGUAGUAGGAUAGGACACGUGUAUUAAUUUUAAGGGCAAGUAAUCAAACUUUUGAAUGAUUCAUCAUGCUUAAAAAAAAGAGACCUAGAUAGAUGAUUCAUCAGAUUCAAAAACAAGUAUAAAUAGACUUCGAGUUUGAAAUUUUAAUUAAUUUGCAACAACCAUUCAAACUGACUGUAUUAAGGUAAGUAGUUACAGAUUUCAUACACAUUAUAUGAUUUCGCGCACAUACGUAUGUAUAUAUAAAUAUUUUUUAAAAUCAUAUAUUAUAUAAUAAUUAUAUUUAAGUUUUAUAUUAUUCUUUAUAAACUAUUGUUCCAUUCUAUAUAAUUAGGUGUGGCAUGACUAGGACGUAACUUUCGAUUGAAUUUCUCAAGUUAAUCUUCAAGUUCAAGUUUCAGGUGUGGGAUUUAUUUAAAUACAUGUCGUGGUUAUUUAUUAUCCAUUUUAAUAAUAUGUGUUUACCAUAUGUGUUAUGAUGCAUAUUUUGAGGAUAUCGCUAGGGGCCCAUAAAUAGGGUCCAGGACUUCACCGUCCUUGGAUUGCCACAAUGCAAUUUGAGGUUUAUUUUGAGGAUGUCGUCAGGGAUCCGUAAAUAGGGUCCAGGACUUUAAUAGUCCUUGGGUUGCCACAGUGCGAAUAUAUUGAGGAUAUAUAUGAAGUGACCGUAUGUGUUACCGUUUCAUUAACGUGGACAAUGAUUGCUUGUUCUCACACUGAGUGUACUCUGUAUGCUCAUCCCAUAUUUAACGUGGAAGGUCGAUUGACGAAUCAAAUAUUUUGUAUUUAGCUUUACCUAAAUAUGUUAUUUUGAGUAAAGUAUUUUAAAUAAAAAUUUAUUUCAUAAUUUUCUCAUUAAAUAUUUAUUUAUAUUCAUAGCUUUUCCGCACAAAUAUUUAUUUAAAUUUUAAUUAGAUUUGGGUGUCACUGUGCGGUGAUGUUUUUCCACCGUUUCGGUGGUGGUGAGGCCCCACCUGCGUGCACGUUAUAUACUUGAUUAUAUUCAGAUACCUCUUGUAAUUUUUAAAAAAAUAAUCAUAAAAUUAAACCAAAGCAUAUAAAAUUGAAAUUGGCCAAAAAAAUAUAUAAAAAUAAAUAAAAUUAAAAAUGGGAUAUAAAGUGAGACAUUAAAUGUGGUACACUACUGAAUCUCAAUCCAACACGUGGAUGCUACAUUGUACUUGUCGGAAUAUUAGAACUUCUACAAAAUAUUGCUAUUGGAAACGUGAAAUUUUAUUAUGAGAAAACUUAUACCUGACCCCACAGUCGUGGGCACGUGUUAUGUUGCGCGGAAAUUAAAGUGGUGGGGACCGUAAAUGGUAUUUUAGUCUUUUAAUUUAUUUUAGUAUACAAAAGAGUUAAUUUUAAAGAGGCGCUAAAAAACACAUCACUUUUAAAAAUUGGUAUUUAAAAUCUUGAACCCCUUUUAUUAUUUUAGAAAGAUAUUAAUUAAUUGAUAAAUUAAUAAAUUAUUAAUUGAAACAAUUAUUUUAAGCAAAUUUAAUUAUAAUUACCUAAAAAUUUAAAAAACAUAAAUUCAAUACCAUUCAAAUUCAACAAACUAACUUAAAUUUUUACUUUAAAAAAUCUUCAUCAAUCUUGCAAUCUCGGCUUGGACUAUAAAUGUUCAACAAGAGACAAUAACCAAUUUUUCAGACAUUUGUGAACAAAAUGAAGCAUGUUUAGAGAUCCUUAAUAAAGGUGUACGAAAUGAUGGAUAAAUAAGUUUGUGAAAAUUUCACCAUACCUAACCCCACAAUUAUUUGCGAUCGAAUAUCCUCGUCACAGGAAAAAGAGAUGAUGACAAAAGGGAAAAAAAAAUUAACAAAGUAGAAGAUGCAUGACAACUGUCAAGAUAAAUAAUGUUACUAAUUAAAUAAUCCAAACUUUAUACGUUUCAUAUCAUAAGUGGCAGUUCUAUAUUUUUUGCGAAAGUGAACAAAAUAACGAAUAAUUUUUAAAGUAAUAGUAAAAGGAGAUGUGUUUUGACAGAAAACGACAUGAGCGGCCUAAAAAUAAGAGGGAAAAAGAUAAUCAUAUAAAUAUUCAAAAUCAAACGGAUUGGCAUGUAUUCAUCAUUUUUUAUUUUAAUAAUUUAACAGUAUUAAAUCAAGAAAUUUAAAGACCGCGCCCCUUACUGCUUGGCUUUAAGAUUAUGUUACAAUAAUAAAAUUAACAGCACGUUUACAAUAUAAAAUUAAUUAUGAUAAAUGCAAUAUAUUAAUAAUAAAUACUCAAUUACCUCUUAACAUAAUUCGCGCAUCAUGGCUUUUAGCUUAUGUUAUAAAGAUGGAGUAUAAAAUAAUCAUCACCUGUGCAUGAUAUUUCACAAAAUAAUUAAAUAAUAAAAUAAUCAAUCAUAAUGCCAAGACGUGACUCUUGUCGGUCAUAUCUCAUCAACUUUAUCUAUAUAGUACAAUGAUGAUUAAUUUGAGAACGACGAUUAAGACACCAACUAUUCUUGUGGGGACACAUGCAUAUAUAGAAUUAAUAUUAUAAACUCUCUCGGUCCACGAAAUAACUUACUAUUUUUUCUUUUAAGAACGUGAACAAAAAAAAUUCCCAUCGAUAUUUCGGAACUAUACCCCACUACUUUAAAAUACCUCAUUUUACCCUUUCUUUUUCACAAAAACAACAAAUUACUAAUAAUUUUUCACUAUUCCUAAUAUACUGAACAAUUUUUCUCCACUCUCAAAUUUUGUAGCACCGAAUAAAAUUAAAUACUAGUAUUAUUUUUUGUAGAACUAUAAAUAAAUAUUAUUCUCAAAACAUGUACUAUUACUUACUAUUUUUUUUAAAUGUGGGACGACCAAAAAAGGAAAGAUGAAUUCUAAAAGCUGGGACAGAGGAUAUAUUAUUUUUCUUCUUGGUUCUGAAGUAUGAAUAUUAAUUAACAAUUCUUCGUCCACAUCAAGCUCACCUUCACGUAAUUUUUUCUUGAACAACACCGAAAAAUAUAUAAUCCCAACAUAGCAUGAUCAAUCUCAAUGCACCAAACAUAAAUUAGUUUUAAAAUAAUAAUAAGAUUAACUACUAUAUUGCUGAAUUAUGCAGUAGAAUUAAAAGCGUGAUUUUUUUUUAAUAGAGCAGGUUAAUCUAGGCCUACCUGAACCAUCUGACUAUGCAUGAGUUUGAUUUUUCUUCUUGAUCUUUUUUAAUUUUACCGACAAAGAAGAUUUUCACAAAUGAAAAGAAAACGUUCUAGUAACAUACUACAUGCUUACUUCAGAUUUGCAACCAAGUCUAUUGAGGGUUUUAUUUGCUACAUAUAUAAACACAAGGAUUUGGUUUGAUACAAAUUAAGAAUAUUCAACUUUCAUCGGCUCAAGCACAUAGAAUCUCCCCGAGUAGUUAUAACUGGUCAAUGUUUUUGCCGAUAAAAAGGAAAAGGAAAGAAAAAAGAAAGAAGCAAGACGGAGAAAAAGUUGUAGUAAAUGAUUAUGCGAUGAAAAGAAAAUGGAAAAGAGAAAGAAAGAAGAAAGUUGUAGGAAUUUUGAAGAAUUUGUACUUAUUUAGAAUUGUGGUUAUUGUGGGAUCUUGUAUAAUAAUAAUAAUAAUAAUAAUAAUAAUAAUAAUAAUUAUUGGGCCGUUCCACGAAUCUUGGCACAUUUUCAAAUAAGGUAAUAAUUCAUUCUCUCUCUUACUUUAUCACUUUAAUACUUUAUUAACUACAAACUUAAAACACUAAUAUACAAUUCCUUAAUUCCCGUGUCGAAACCAAACGUGUCAAGAUUCGUUGGAUGGAGGGAGUAAUAAUAAUAAUAAUAAUAAUAGUAAUAAUAAUAAUAAUAAUAAUAAUAAUACAUCAUUGCCCUUUAAAAAGUUUUAAAAUAGGAACAUAAUAUGUAAAUCUAAUUUUGUAAAAGAAGCUCUUCUAUAGUAAUAGUUAUAGAUUUGGUGUGGAGGCAUUUGUUUGAGAAUGGGUAAAACAUACCAUUAACCCUUUGAUAUAUGCACGAGACACUUAUUUGUGGAUAGGACAAGAAUUAUUUUGUUGCAUAGGAUCCCUUCCAAAUGUAAUUACUGAUUCACAAUUGGAUUAACAAGAAUUAACUUACUUCAUAUUCAGUAUUCCAACUGUUCGAUAAAAGUUCUUAAUGAAAUCUUCCAUAGAUUACCCAAAUGCAUUGUUUUGCAUAGUCCGUACAUUGAGAUGGUCGAGUAUCUUAUGUCUAGACUUAACGAGAGCAGACUCGAUCGCUUAGUCCUUAUUUAUUUACGACACACACACAUCUCAAAAUCACACAAAUUGACGAAUAAUGUUGCCAGCCAGCUCCUUCCUGUUCCACGCGCCAGCAUUUGUCUUCACCAUGGUGGCUGUGAAAUACCAUGAGAUAAUAUCAUGUUUGGCGACGUAUGGUUGGUUUAGUCCGCUGGCGGCGGAGAGCCCUACCUGAACCUGCUCAGGAAGAAACUCGCCCAAAUUGUACACAUGGCUGACCUCAAACGUCUUCGAGCCGGCGGUGGCACUGACGGUGAUCAUCUUCGUGGCUCCGACGUAGUUGAUCCGCGCAGUCACCUGCUGUCCGACUAUGGCGUCUCCGACAUUCGUCGUGUUGCUGGAUUCCCUAGAUCCGAGGUCGAUGCCGAUGUGGGGAUAGUUCGGAUCCCACGGGCUGUUGAUGAAGGUGUCGAACUCGACGGCGAAGACCGAGGGGCUAUUGCCGUUGGAGCCGAAAAUUCCGAGGUUGGCCCCAACAGCGCCACUGGGGAUGGUGGAGCCGACGGGGGCAAUGAAGAAAGCGAGGCCGUCAGCGGUUUUGCCAUCGGGGCUGGGUGUGAUGAUGAAGUUAAUGGUGGUUUCAAAGUCGACUUGGCCACCGGAUUGGGAGAACUGGACCGGCUUCGAGUACAAGACCCGGCCGACCUGGUAUGUCUCGAAGUCGGUGAGGCGGAGGAAGGUGGAGUCCGAUGGGAAAUGGGCGUGGCCUUGGUAGGUGAGAUCGGUCGGCUGGUCGCCCCAGAAGUCGUAGGUGAAGGACGUUGUUUGGGACCACACCGUGUUGGCAGCGGCGGCAAGGAGAAGGGCGAUGGAGAUUAGGGUUUGUUGAAGGUUGGCCAUCGCUUAAUUGAUUUGGAUGUG
RNAcentral lists this long non-coding RNA (13729 nucleotides) under Salvia miltiorrhiza (redroot sage). Its description in RNAcentral is "long non-coding RNA (SMIL_LNC011427)". Lineage: Eukaryota; Viridiplantae; Streptophyta; Magnoliopsida; Lamiales; Lamiaceae. The record is from RNAcentral.